GGGGAAUAUUGCACAAUGGGGGAAACCCUGAUGCAGCAACGCCGCGUGAAGGAAGACGGUCUUCGGAUUGUAAACUUUUGUUCUUGGUGAAGAAAAAUGACGGUAGCCAAGGAGGAAGCCACGGCUAACUACGUGCCAGCAGCCGCGGUAAUACGUAGGUGGCAAGCGUUGUCCGGAAUUACUGGGUGUAAAGGGAGCGCAGGCGGGAAAUCAAGUUGGAUGUGAAAUGUCGGGGCUUAACCCCGGAACUGCAUCCAAAACUGAUAUUCUUGAGUGAAGUAGAGGUAGGCGGAAUUCCGAGUGUAGCGGUGAAAUGCGUAGAUAUUCGGAGGAACACCAGUGGCGAAGGCGGCCUACUGGGCUUUAACUGACGCUGAGGCUCGAAAGUGUGGGGAGCAAACAGGAUUAGAUACCCUGGUAGUCCAUGCCGUAAACGAUGAUUACUAGGUGUUGGAGGAUUGACCCCUUCAGUGCCGCAGUUAACACAAUAAGUAAUCCACCUGGGGAGUACGACCGCAAGGUUGAAACUCAAAGGAAUUGACGGGGGCCCGCACAAGCAGUGGAGUAUGUGGUUUAAUUCGAAGCAACGCGAAGAACCUUACCAGGUCUUGACAUCCGAUGCAUAGCUUAGAGAUAAGUGAAGUCCUUCGGGACAUCGAGACAGGUGGUGCAUGGUUGUCGUCAGCUCGUGUCGUGAGAUGUUGGGUUAAGUCCCGCAACGAGCGCAACCCUUAUUGCCAGUUACUACGCAAGAGGACUCUGGCGAGACUGCCGUUGACAAAACGGAGGAAGGUGGGGAUGACGUCAAAUCAUCAUGCCCUUUAUGACCUGGGCUACACACGUACUACAAUGGCGUUUAACAAAGAGAAGCAAGACCGCGAGGUGGAGCAAAACUCAAAAACAACGUCUCAGUUCAGAUUGCAGGCUGCAACUCGCCUGCAUGAAGUCGGAAUUGCUAGUAAUCGCGGAUCAGCAUGCCGCGGUGAAUACGUUCCCG
This 997-nucleotide ribosomal RNA is filed under the name uncultured bacterium. RNAcentral describes it as "bacterial SSU rRNA". It matches the Rfam family "Bacterial small subunit ribosomal RNA", at positions 356 to 1376 of the family's 1533-position model. The record is from RNAcentral.